UAACCUGCCCAAGAGAUCGGGAUAACACCUGGAAACAGAUGCUAAUACCGGAUAACAACAGAUGAUGCCUAUCAACUGUUUAAAAGAUGGUUCUGCUAUCACUCUUGGAUGGACCUGCGGUGCAUUAGCUAGUUGGUAGGGUAACGGCCUACCAAGGCGAUGAUGCAUAGCCGAGUUGAGAGACUGAUCGGCCACAUUGGGACUGAGACACGGCCCAAACUCCUACGGGAGGCAGCANAC
RNAcentral lists this ribosomal RNA (240 nucleotides) under uncultured Lactobacillus sp. RNAcentral's name for it is "partial 16S ribosomal RNA". It matches the Rfam family "Bacterial small subunit ribosomal RNA", at positions 122 to 353 of the family's 1533-position model. Lineage: Bacteria; Bacillati; Bacillota; Bacilli; Lactobacillales; Lactobacillaceae. The record is from RNAcentral.